UUGCAUGUUUUGGCCCUGGGCCAUGAUUGGCCACUCCAUUUCUGUAGAGAGGGCGAGUACAAACAUGCUACAUUAACAGUUGUGGAGUUAACAGGGCCACCAGUCUAUCAAGGCCAGACUGAGUUGGUAGUAUAAUACUCCAACAUAC
This is a small nucleolar RNA of Sparus aurata (gilthead seabream), 148 nucleotides long. The record is from Ensembl. NCBI's taxonomy places the organism in Eukaryota, Metazoa, Chordata, Actinopteri, Spariformes, Sparidae.